This 409-nucleotide ribosomal RNA is filed under the name Bacillota bacterium. RNAcentral describes it as "Firmicutes bacterium partial 16S ribosomal RNA". It matches the Rfam family "Bacterial small subunit ribosomal RNA", at positions 355 to 776 of the family's 1533-position model. Lineage: Bacteria; Bacillati; Bacillota. The record is from RNAcentral.
UGGGGAAUAUUGCGCAAUGGGCGAAAGCCUGACGCAGCGACGCCGCGUGAGGGAUGAAGGCCUUCGGGUCGUAAACCUCUUUCAGCAGGGAAGAAGCGAAAGUGACGGUACCUGCAGAAGAAGCACCGGCUAACUACGUGCCAGCAGCCGCGGUAAUACGUAGGGUGCAAGCGUUGUCCGGAAUUAUUGGGCGUAAAGAGCUCGUAGGCGGUCUGUCGCGUCUGCUGUGAAAACUCAGGGCUUAACCCUGAGCUUGCAGUGGGUACGGGCAGACUAGAGUGCGGUAGGGGAGACUGGAAUUCCUGGUGUAGCGGUGAAAUGCGCAGAUAUCAGGAGGAACACCGGUGGCGAAGGCGGGUCUCUGGGCCGUAACUGACGCUGAGGAGCGAAAGCAUGGGGAGCGAACAGG